UGGGGAAUAUUGGACAAUGGGCGCAAGCCUGAUCCAGCCAUACCGCGUGGGUGAAGAAGGCCUUCGGGUUGUAAAGCCCUUUUGUUGGGAAAGAAAUCCAGCUGGCUAAUACCCGGUUGGGAUGACGGUACCCAAAGAAUAAGCACCGGCUAAACUUCGUGCCAGCAGCCGCGGUAAUACGAAGGGUGCAAGCGUUACUCGGAAUUACUGGGCGUAAAGCGUGCGUAGGUGGUCGUUUAAGUCCGUUGUGAAAGCCCUGGGCUCAACCUGGGAACUGCAGUGGAUACUGGACGACUAGAGUGUGGUAGAGGGUAGCGGAAUUCCUGGUGUAGCAGUGAAAUGCGUAGAGAUCAGGAGGAACAUCCAUGGCGAAGGCAGCUACCUGGACCAACGACUGA
RNAcentral lists this ribosomal RNA (398 nucleotides) under uncultured bacterium. RNAcentral's name for it is "bacterial SSU rRNA". It matches the Rfam family "Bacterial small subunit ribosomal RNA", at positions 355 to 743 of the family's 1533-position model. The record is from RNAcentral.